CCUUUUGCUUGUGAGAAAAGCCACAACCAAUCAUUACAUAUUUGAUUUAUGUUACUCUUUAGUAUUACUUAUUUCCGUUUAAUAAAAUUAUUAUUAUAUUGGUUAUAGAAGCAGUAAAAGGAGUCUUGAGCCAUAUAAGCCUCUCUCAACUACCCUCUCUAGUUAGCUCUGCGUAUUACCCUUCUUUAUAAAAUAUAUAUAUAUAUGUAUCUAUCAAGAAUCAUGCAAUGCAAGCGUUGACUAUUACUAAUUAUAAAUUAAACAUUUUUGUAAGGCAAGAGGGGGAACUUACAUCAUGAAUCAUACCCCAUAUCGACGUGAUAACUUUUAAUACCAAAC
This 339-nucleotide long non-coding RNA is filed under the name Brassica napus (rape). RNAcentral describes it as "long non-coding RNA (BNAP_LNC014725)". The record is from RNAcentral. Lineage: Eukaryota; Viridiplantae; Streptophyta; Magnoliopsida; Brassicales; Brassicaceae.